CGCCUCAGCCAAUCGGGUGGGGGAGCCCAAGCAGCAAUAUAAAGUAAGGAUUCUCAUCUUCCAGCCACACAGUUACCAAGAAAAGGGACUCGCUUCCUGGAGUGGCUGAAAGUGCUCUGGACGGCGGGCCAGGCCCAUCAUGGCGGACAGCGGGAGAGCCGGGCAAGAGGAAGCACCACGAGUGAGGCAGGCUGGGAGCCUCAGGGAACCAAAGUUCCGAGGGCUCUUCUCCAGCCUGAAGGCUGGGGGAAAUCCCAUUCAAUGGAGCCGAAGGAAGAUGGACACAGACUGGCUGGCCCCCAGAGCCACUUCAAGACCCUGGUCAAGCAGCACUGUGGAUGGCACGACCUCUACAGGUGAAAGGCAAGAAAGUCCAUGAAGACUCUGCUUUCUGGGGGAGAAGCAGGGUGUGGGGGAUGGGGAAGUGGUCCGGAAUAGGGAUGAAACCGUUUGUUGGGCAGAGAGUCCAAUUCACACUUAGCUGAAGUCCAUUCUCUAGUCCUAUGAAGCAGGAAAAGAGGCAGCCACUAGAAAGGUUCUGGGCCCUAAUACUUCAAAUCAAAUUCCUCAGAUCUCCCUAUUAGGAAAAUUCUCCCAUCAGAGCAGCAGUAGAUGUUCUUCAUAUGUCAUCUUCCACUCUCUAGCCAUGAGUUUCAUUGUCAGGGUCAGGGAAAACUAAUGGCUCCCAUAUAAAAAGUGACUCAUAAUGUUAUUAUAUGAGAGAGUAAGAUAGCUCCAGCCAAGGUCACCUCUCACCUGUUUCAGUCUUUGGAGACAGCACUGUGGUCUAAUUCUUUAAGAUCAUGAAAGGGUAGCAAGCUGCCAUCAC
Molecule: long non-coding RNA, 829 nt
Filed under: Phascolarctos cinereus (koala)
Lineage: Eukaryota; Metazoa; Chordata; Mammalia; Diprotodontia; Phascolarctidae
Description: lncRNA (ENSPCIG00000000370.2)
Source: RNAcentral